RNAcentral lists this ribosomal RNA (232 nucleotides) under uncultured bacterium. Its description in RNAcentral is "partial 16S ribosomal RNA". It matches the Rfam family "Bacterial small subunit ribosomal RNA", at positions 541 to 772 of the family's 1533-position model. The record is from RNAcentral.
UUGUCCGGAUUUAUUGGGCGUAAAGCGUGCGCAGGCGGUUAGGAAAGAAAGAUGUGAAAUCCCAGGGCUCAACCUUGGAACUGCAUUUUUAACUCCCGGACUAGAGUGUGUCAGAGGGGGGUGGAAUUCCACGUGUAGCAGUGAAAUGCGUAGAUAUGUGGAGGAACACCGAUGGCGAAGGCAGCCCCCUGGGAUAACACUGACGCUCAGGCACGAAAGCGUGGGGAGCAAA